AUUGAACGCUGGCGGAAUGCUUUACACAUGCAAGUCGAACGGCAGCACGGGAGCUUGCUCCUGGUGGCGAGUGGCGAACGGGUGAUUAACAUAUCGGAACGUACCCAGUCGUGGGGGAUAACUAUCCGAAAGGAUAGCUAAUACCGCAUACGUCCUGAGGGAGAAAGCGGGGGAUCGCAAGACCUCGCGCGAUUGGAGCGGCCGAUAUCGGAUUAGCUAGUUGGUGGGGUAAAGGCUCACCAAGGCGACGAUCCGUAGCGGGUCUGAGAGGACGACCCGCCACACUGGAACUGAGACACGGUCCAGACUCCUACGGGAGGCAGCAGUGGGGAAUUUUGGACAAUGGGGGCAACCCUGAUCCAGCCAUUCCGCGUGAGUGAAGAAGGCCUUCGGGUUGUAAAGCUCUUUCAGCAGGAACGAAACGGUCGGCUUUAAUAAAGUCGGCUAAUGACGGUACCUGCAGAAGAAGCACCGGCUAACUACGUG
RNAcentral lists this ribosomal RNA (486 nucleotides) under uncultured bacterium. RNAcentral describes it as "partial 16S ribosomal RNA". It matches the Rfam family "Bacterial small subunit ribosomal RNA", at positions 30 to 507 of the family's 1533-position model. The record is from RNAcentral.